GACGAAGGGGGCUAGCGUUGUUCGGAAUUACUGGGCGUAAAGCGAGUGUAGGCGGUUGUCCAAGUCAGGUGUGAAAGCCUUGAGCUCAACUCAAGAAAUGCACUUGGUACUGGGUGGCUAGAGGACCGGAGAGGAUAGUGGAAUUCCCAGUGUAGUGGUGAAAUACGUAGAGAUUGGGAAGAACACCAGUGGCGAAGGCGGCUAUCUGGACGGUUACUGACGCUAAGACUCGAAAGCGUGGGGAGCAAACAGG
Molecule: ribosomal RNA, 253 nt
Filed under: uncultured bacterium
Lineage: Bacteria
Description: partial 16S ribosomal RNA
Rfam family: Bacterial small subunit ribosomal RNA
Source: RNAcentral